This 433-nucleotide ribosomal RNA is filed under the name uncultured bacterium. RNAcentral describes it as "partial 16S ribosomal RNA". It matches the Rfam family "Bacterial small subunit ribosomal RNA", at positions 29 to 507 of the family's 1533-position model. The record is from RNAcentral.
AACGAACGCUGGCGGCAUGCUUAACACAUGCAAGUCGAACGAGACCUUCGGGUUUAUGGGCGCUCGGUUGCGUACCGCGUGGUAACCUGCCCUUAGGUUCCGAAUAACUCUCCGAUAGGGGUGCUAAUACCGGUUAAUGUCUUCGGACCAAAGAUUUUUCGCUUUUGGAUGGGGCCGCGUUGGAUUAGCUAGUUGGUAGUGUAAAAGCAUACCAAGGCGUCGAUCCAUAGCUGGUCUGCGAGGAUGAUCAGCCACACUGGGAAUGAGACACGGCCCAGACUGCUACGCAGGGCAGCGGUAGAGAGUAUUAGAGGCUGAACGCAGACCCGGUCAAGCAGUGCGGCGUGUGUGGUGAAGGCCUUAGGGUUGUAAAUCUCUUUUACCCGAGAUGAUAAUGACGGUACCGGGAGAAUAAGCACCGGCUAACUACGUG